RNAcentral lists this ribosomal RNA (450 nucleotides) under uncultured Glomus. Its description in RNAcentral is "SSU rRNA". It matches the Rfam family "Eukaryotic small subunit ribosomal RNA", at positions 569 to 1025 of the family's 1831-position model. Lineage: Eukaryota; Fungi; Glomeromycota; Glomeromycetes; Glomerales; Glomeraceae. The record is from RNAcentral.
AGCAGCCGCGGUAAUUCCAGCUCCAAUAGCGUAUAUUAAAGUUGUUGCAGUUAAAAAGCUCGUAGUUGAAUUUCGGGGUUAGUAAGUUGGUCGUGCCUAUGGUAUGUACUGACUUUACUGAUUCCUCCCUCUUGACGAACUGUAAUGUCAUUAAUUUGGUGUUGCAGGGAAUCAGGACUGUUACUUUGAAAAAUUAGAGUGUUUAAAGCAGGCUAACGCUUGAAUACAUUAGCAUGGAAUAAUGAAAUAGGACGUUGAUCCUAUUUUGUUGGUUUCUAGGAUUGACGUAAUGAUUAAUAGGGAUAGUUGGGGGCAUUAGUAUUCAAUUGUCAGAGGUGAAAUUCUUGGAUUUAUUGAAGACUAACUACUGCGAAAGCAUUUGCCAAGGAUGUUUUCAUUAAUCAAGAACGAAAGUUAGGGGAUCGAAGACGAUCAGAUACCGUCGUAGUC